This 221-nucleotide unclassified non-coding RNA is filed under the name soil metagenome. Its description in RNAcentral is "partial contains 5.8S ribosomal RNA, internal transcribed spacer 2, and large subunit ribosomal RNA". The record is from RNAcentral.
AACCUAGCACACCUGCGGUGUGUACCUGCGGAAGGAUCAUUAACGAGUUACCACUCUAUAACCCUUUGUGAACAUACCUACAUGUUGCUUCGGCGGUCGGCCCCCCCGGGCCCCCGGCCCCGCUCACGCGGGGCGUCCGCCGGAGGAUAACCAAACUCUGAUUUAACGACGUUUCUUCUGAGUGGCACAAGCAAAUAAUCAAAACUUUUAGCAAUGGAUCU